Ochotona princeps (American pika) is the source of this 140-nucleotide small nucleolar RNA. Its record names the gene SNORA74. It matches the Rfam family "Small nucleolar RNA SNORA74". Rfam says of the family: U19 belongs to the H/ACA class of snoRNAs. snoRNAs bind a number of proteins (including dyskerin, Gar1p and Nop10p in the case of the H/ACA class) to form snoRNP complexes. This class are thought to guide the sites of modification of uridines to pseudouridines by forming direct base pairing interactions with substrate RNAs. Targets may include ribosomal and spliceosomal RNAs but the exact functions of many snoRNAs, including U19, are not confirmed. The record is from Ensembl. NCBI's taxonomy places the organism in Eukaryota, Metazoa, Chordata, Mammalia, Lagomorpha, Ochotonidae.
CCCAACUGUGGGCAACAGCCUAAGUUGAUUAUACCUAGGCAAGUGUUACACUGCUGGGAGAAAAACAGCUACUAGCUGGCGGGCAUCCUGGGCCUGGUUACUGCCACAUCUGUGUUAACCAUACCAGUGUGCCAGUAAAU